This 253-nucleotide ribosomal RNA is filed under the name uncultured bacterium. Its description in RNAcentral is "partial 16S ribosomal RNA". It matches the Rfam family "Bacterial small subunit ribosomal RNA", at positions 524 to 776 of the family's 1533-position model. The record is from RNAcentral.
UACGUAGGGUGCGAGCGUUGUCCGGAAUUACUGGGCGUAAAGAGCUCGUAGGUGGUUUGUCGCGUUGUUCGUGAAAACUCACAGCUUAACUGUGGGCGUGCGGGCGAUACGGGCAGACUGGAGUACUGCAGGGGAGACUGGAAUUCCUGGUGUAGCGGUGGAAUGCGCAGAUAUCAGGAGGAACACCGGUGGCGAAGGCGGGUCUCUGGGAAUGACCUGACGCUGAGGAGCGAAAGUGUGGGGAGCGAACAGG